Molecule: ribosomal RNA, 484 nt
Filed under: uncultured bacterium
Lineage: Bacteria
Description: partial 16S ribosomal RNA
Rfam family: Bacterial small subunit ribosomal RNA
Source: RNAcentral
AUUGAACGCUGGCGGCAGGCCUAACACAUGCAAGUCGAGCGGAUGAAGGGAGCUUGCUCCUGGAUUCAGCGGCGGACGGGUGAGUAAUGCCUAGGAAUCUGCCUGGUAGUGGGAGAUAACGUCCGGAAACGGGCGCUAAUACCGCAUACGUCCUGAGGGAGAAAGUGGGGGAUCUUCGGACCUCACGCUAUCAGAUGAGCCUAGGUCGGAUUAGCUAGUUGGUGGGGUAAAGGCCUACCAAGGCGACGAUCCGUAACUGGUCUGAGAGGAUGAUCAGUCACACUGGAACUGAGACACGGUCCAGACUCCUACGGGAGGCAGCAGUGGGGAAUAUUGGACAAAGGGCGAAAGCCUGAUCCAGCCAUGCCGCGUGUGUGAAGAAGGUCUUCGGAUUGUAAAGCACUUUAAGUUGGGAGGAAGGGCAGUAAGUUAAUACCUUGCUGUUUUGACGUUACCAACAGAAUAAGCACCGGCUAACUUCGUG